AUUUAAAAUGAGUUUAAAUUUAUUAGUUAAGUUAUUAAUAUUAAUAAAGUUGUAGAAAUUUUAAUGUUUUAGUAAUAUUUAGAAAGAAUUUUUUAUUAAUAGUUAAAUUGUAAAAGAAUAAUUAAAAUAAUAAAAAGAAAGUUUAAUUUACUGUACCUUUUGUAUCAGGGAUUAUUAAAAUUGAAUAUAAGAAUUUAUAAAUCUCGAAUUAUAAAGAGUUAAUUUAAAAUUAUAGUUAAUGUGGAAAAAUUAUUAUAAAUUUUAAAUUAGAAAUGAAAUGUUAAACGAUUUUUAAGAUAUCUAGUUUUUUAAUAUAAAAAUUUAAUUUUUUUAUAGUUUAAAAUUACUGAUAAAUUUAAAUUGGUAAUUAAAUUAUAAGAAAUAAUUUAUGGGAUAAUCUAUAAAUUUAAAUUAAAUAAAUUUAAAGUUAGUAAAAAAUUUAGAAAUUAAAAUUUUUAAAGUUAUUAAAUUUUUAAUAAUUUAUUUUUUAGUUGAUUAUAAUUUUAGAAUUUAUUAAUUAAGUAUUAAAAUAGAAAUUUUUAAUUAAUUAAGAAUUAAAAUAAUGAUAAUAUUAGUAUAAUUUUAUGUUAAGUUAAUUUUAUUAAAAAAUUAAUUUAAGGAAUUAGGCAAAAAUUUAAAAUUCACUUGUUUAUCAAAAACAUGUUUUUUUGAAAUUAAUAAAAAAUUUUCUCUGCCCAAUGAAAAUUUAAAUGGCCGCAGUAUUUUGACUGUGCAAAGGUAGCAUAAUAAAUAGUUUUUUAAAUGGAGACUAGAAUGAAUGAGAGGAUGAAAUUUUAACUGUCUCAAAUUAAAAAUAUAAAUUUAUUUUAAGUUAAAAUUCUUAAAUAAAUUUAAGGGACGAGAAGACCCUAUAGAAUUUAAAAAUUUAAAUUAAUUUAAUAUAUAAAAUUAAAUUUAAUUAGUAAAAAAUUUUUUUAUUGGGAUGAUUUUAAAAUUUAAUUAACUUUUAAUUAUAAAAUUCAAUAAUAAAUGAAUUAAUAAGAUUAUAUUUUUAAUAAGAAAAAAUUACCUUAGGGAUAACAGCGUAAUAAAUUUUUAAAGUUCAAAUUAAAAAAUUUGAUUGCGACCUCGAUGUUGAAUUAAAAUAAAAUUUAAGUGUAGAAGC
Molecule: ribosomal RNA, 1126 nt
Filed under: Chrysis iris
Lineage: Eukaryota; Metazoa; Arthropoda; Insecta; Hymenoptera; Chrysididae
Description: partial 16S ribosomal RNA
Source: RNAcentral